AUUGAACGCUGGCGGCAGGCCUAACACAUGCAAGUCGAGCGCGAAAGUUCUUCGGAAUGAGUAAAGCGGCGGACGGGUGAGUAAUACAUGGGAAUCUGCCUGGUAGUGGGGGACAACGUUUCGAAAGGAACGCUAAUACCGCACACGCCCUACGGGGGAAAGGGGGGGUCGCAAGACCUCUCGCUGUCAGAUGAGCCCAU
RNAcentral lists this ribosomal RNA (200 nucleotides) under uncultured bacterium. RNAcentral describes it as "partial 16S ribosomal RNA". It matches the Rfam family "Bacterial small subunit ribosomal RNA", at positions 30 to 234 of the family's 1533-position model. The record is from RNAcentral.